Long non-coding RNA from Parasteatoda tepidariorum (common house spider), 5498 nucleotides. Lineage: Eukaryota; Metazoa; Arthropoda; Arachnida; Araneae; Theridiidae. The record is from RefSeq and is a predicted model, not a curated record.
CUGAACAAUCUGGUUUAGGGUGUGGGCAUAGCACCUAAUUCUUUCUUGAGACAUUUUUUGACCGCUAGUUUCAUACUUAAUGCAUUAUCUGAAGCAAUGCACUUUAUUUUACUCUAUAUACCCCAUUCUUCAAUGAUUCUCUCCAUUUCUUGCGAGAAAUUUUCUCCAGUGUGAGAGUCCACCAUUCUUGUAAGUUCAGGCAAAAUUUAUUUCAUCCUGAAUUCAUCAUAGAUGAAGUGAGCAGUUAUGGUUAAAUAUGAUUCACAUAUCGAUGACGUCCAACAAUCCGUAGUUAGGCAAAUUGUUCAACGUUUGUCAUCACCUGUUUUAUUUCAUGUAUGCAUUGCUUGUACUUCUUUGGCAGUUAACAACCGGAAAGAGUUUUACUGCUCGGUAGCUGAUAAGAAGGAUUCAGUGCUCUCACAAAUUUUUUAAAACCUUCAUCCUCAACCACGCUAAAUGGUUAAAAUUCAGUAAUGAACAAGUCCAUUAAGACGUCAUCAAUUUUCCGCCCUUCAUCUAAACACAACUUUUUAGGCGCAAACUGAAAAUUUUUGCUUUGCUGGAGUUUAGUUUUUUUUUUCGUUGGUGAUUUUGAUUGCCAUGUUAUUUACUUCAACGUCGUUUAUUUCAUUUGAUGAGGAUUCUUCUUGCCUUUCAAUACUCCAUUGUAGUACUGUUGGAUGAGUUCGAUUCAGAUGUUUGUUUGUUUGUUUUUUUUUUUUUCAAAUUAGCUGUUGAAGAAAGUUCCUUUGUAAUAAACUAAUCACUUGCAGUGAAAUGUGACCAAAUCUCACUGGACUUUUUCACAGAGCUCAUGAAUGAAUAAAGAAGUUUUUUUUUUUAAAUAGAAACACUCUGAAUAUACUAUUAAACUUUCGAAUAUUUAACAAAUAAUAAAUAACAAGCAAAACUGUAAAUGAGAAGUUAAACUAAUGCGACGUAACUUAAAUUAUAACAAACAACGUGAUACAGAAUUUAAAAAUUAGUUCUCAAAUCGAUGUUCAGGAAAAGGAUUCAAAACGAAAAAUAGUCAAGAAUUUAAACUAGCCUUCACAUCACAACUUCUUUUUCUGUUUACUUGAUAGAUUAUCUCAGUUUAACACCACUUUUUUUCAGGUAGUCAAUCAUACUUUAUGAGCAAUCGCUGUAAAUCCUUUAUGAGGGCGGGAAAACAGCCACGAGCAAAAAUCAUCACAUGCAGAAUACCCUUUGAAAAUUUUUUCUACUCCAUCAGCUACUGCAAAAUUUACCAGAUGUUCCCCUGACGAUUGGUCCGUUUCGAAAUCAAAAAAGAUCAACUUAUCAGACGGCGUUUGUGAUUUGAUGGUUUUAGAGUAACAUCUAUGUUCUGAAGACUUCACAAAGGUUUUACAGGAAGGACAUUUUAUUGUCCAACAACGAUGUAGCUCUGGUGGACAUUCUCGCCUUCGAACGACUUUACAACAGGUUCUGCGUUGGUAAAUUUAAAAUAAUAAUUUAAAAAAAAAAUAUUUGUUACAUUCACUGAGAAAAAAUUUAUAAAUGUACGUACGCAUACAUAUAAAAAAUAAUUUUGUCUUACUUUAUCGCACAAAGAAUUCUCUUGCAGUCCAGAUGUAAACUUAUGAACAUUAAAGCAUUCUUGUGACCUACACAGCCUGAAGCAAUCUCCACAUCUUAUAUUUUGUCCAUCUUCGCAGUCAACUCUGGCACAAACUCUGCAUGAAUUAGAAUAAAAAUGAUCCUCAAUGUGUGCAAAUGGCUUUUCACACUGCUCACGAUAAAAAUUACUUGCAUGAUAACCUUUCAUGCGUUUUAUCACGUCGUAAUGGUUAUUUGAUAAUAGAAGAUUGAUUCUUUGUACUCCCCUGUAUAAGCAACCUAAAAUACAUAAUUUUAUUAAACAUUCAUACAAAAUAAUUAAUACUUAAUUCAUAAAAAUAAAAAAAACAUGACAGAGAUUUGAAUGUCCAAAAAUCGUUCGAAAAUGGCUAUUGCGUUGAAUGUGCAGGGGCCUAAUGAUACGCCUGCAGCAAAGUGUAAAUCUUUUGCCUUGUUCAAAAGAGCAGGUCGAUUCUUCCUCCGCAAAACAUCAAUCUGCUUUCUGUCGUUAUUUAAAUGUGCUAAAGCAUAAACAAUGGCUUUAGCACAGCACAACACUUGUUCGUCUGGAUGAAUAGUUAAUAUCGACUUUUUGGUAUUCCUGUCUUUAAAAAUAUUAACUGUUCUAUUUCCUCUACCGGCACCGACAUCUCUCCUUAUAGUAAUGAUGUCAACUAUAAAUCCCUAAUCUAACUCUAUUUGGUCUUUCGACUGCAAAACUUUUAAAACACAGAUUGGUAAUCUAAGACAAGGGGACCUAUCUGUCGUAUUGCAAACUCUUGAAAUUAAUAACUCGAACAAUUGUCGGACAGUGUCAACAACAGUAAUUACUGGCGUCCCUCUCAAAAUCAAUCCAACUUUAUCAAAGAUUUCAAUUUCUCAGGAAGCGGUUCAAACCAUAGAUCAAAGAUCCUUCCAACGGUCCUUCUGGAUGUCCCAAAUCGAUAGGCAAUAUCCGUGGCAAAUAAAUUCAGUUUUAAUUUCAUUAAAACAAUUAACAAUUGUUCACUCCUAGAUAUGGCUUGUAUGGAGUCUGGCACAUCAGAAGCCAUUACGUGUUCUAUAAAACGGUUCUAUAGAGUUCGUGAAAUUGUUAGGAUCAAUAAUUGGAAAACAGUGUUACAAUUAAGUUCUAACAGAAUGUUUUAACUCUUUUUUUUAUAAUGCUUUUAAGAACCCCCUUCGCUGUCUUUUUUUUCUCCCUUAUUACUUAACAAGUAGUACAUUUUCGAUCUUAAACCUACGAACUCUUUCACUGCAACACCGUUCAUCUCAUCUUUCAUUUUCCUUAAAAAAAAAAUUUUUUUUAAUGACUCAAUGGAUAAUCUGAUGUAUCGUAUAAGUUAAUGUGUUAGGCCAUGACAAGGUAGAUGUCAUCCGUUUGUAUCUCGUAAAAAAGCGAGUCUGUGUCUGUAAACAAUAAUUCUGCCUUACUUCCUUAUUUUGCUUUAAUGUGACCGUAGUGAAAUUCAUACAUAAAAAUUUUGCUAAUGUCCAAUACAGUGAAACUUAUAUAAAUAGGACGAUUGAGAGUAAGAGAUGAAAAGUGACGUGAUAUAAUUACUAAUCCUUCGUCUAUAAUUUUAAAUGAACUAAAAGAGGGUGAUGCAAUUAAUUUUAAAACUUUUUUUCUUAUCGGUUACUAGAUCUACAGCUGCAAGAUUUCUCAGAUUUUCCAUAGUCUUUCCAAAAACACUGUUAUUCAUAAGUUCCCGAAAAUCUUUAUCAAAGGAAUUAUUUGCCAUGGUUUUUCUUCAACAGGGGAAAGGAAGGAAUCCCUGCACUACCACUUUGCCAUUACUUCUUAGCGAACUCUGUGGAAACUAGGCAACUCAGCUGAGGGGGAAAAUCCAGUCUAACCUCGUUACGUCAAGAGUGAAUGUCAAAAAGUUGCUCCUACAAGAUCAGUCCAACGCACUUUCGUUUGCGUUCUUGCUGCAAAGCAUCUCACUACAAAGCAUUUCUUCCAUUAUCGCAUUUUUGCGUUAAACAUGUCUUUCACGUCAAGACAUUUCUAUAACGGUUAAACGAAGUUUAACAAGGCAACUUUAGACAUGAUCCCUCGCUAUCAAUAAGAACAUAUGAAUAACAGCAGGGUAUAUGUUACGCAGUUAUUUCAGUGCGCGUAUCACUAUUAGAUGCAUUUUUAAUUAAAAUGUAUUCAAAAUCUGCAUAAGUUCAAAACUUGGAAUUAAAUAAAUUAUAAUUAACAUUUUCCACUGUUUUUGUUUUCCAUUCCUGCGAAACCUUCAACGAGCCAAUGAUAUUUCCUAGAAAUUCUAGCUAUGAAAAAAUAUCAAGAUCUCUUUUAACCGAUAAAAUAAGAUCUUCAUUUUACACCUAGUUCUGGAUUUUGAACCUCUACUAAAAAUACUAAUCACAUUUUGAUCUCCAACGAUGUCUUAUACUCAUAAUUUUGUAUCCAUUUGGGUGAUUUUAUUCAGCUUUUAUGUGAUUUUAUUCAGCUUUGAAUGCAACUGUUAUGAUGCUUUACUAUGUUUACAUUUUACCUGGUUUUACUCACUUUUGAAUGCGUUGGUUUCGUUGUAUUCAGUUUUAUAAAUUCCGUGUGAUUUUUGAGGGGAAAAACUUGUAGUAUAACAUCUACAUAGGAUUUAUUUUGAAACCGUUUGUUUGGCGCAGCAUGUCCUUCUGAGGACUUUCUGCCACUAAACCCAACAUUCAAUUCAAAUCCAAAAAGUGGUCUACAGAAUCAGAUCCUCUACAGACCGUAACAGGUUUAUAUGUUUUUCCAUCAGGUCCUACGAUUACGUAAGCAUAACCGCGGGGUGUAUGAAUUGACAUUUUCUCAGUAUAUGAGGCUAAAGGAUUAGGUUGACAACUAUCAAUUUUCUCAAUGAGAGACUCAAAAUCUGCGUAAAUUAUAAAGGAAUGGGAGGCUGAAAAUUAAUAUUAUGAAAAGAUACAAUUUUAUCUUUAUCAUCAGGCUUUUAAUAUCUUGAGGGGAAUUAUGUUUACAAAAAGUUAAGUGUUUUUUAAGGGUCUCUUCUACUGCAUGAAGACAACGAUAAAAAUAGAAGCUUUUAGGAUUAUGUUUAGUGGCAUCAACCAUCAAACGAGAGAAAUUUCGAAUGAGGCAAUAAUGAUUUUGCUUUUCAUUUGAAAUUAAAAGUGAGUUGCAGCAUUCAACAUCUUCACGCUCGGAAAUAUACAGUGGAAAUAUUACCUCGUCAUACCCAAAGACGUUAAUACGAAUGUUAUUGAGUGUCUCGAUUUUAGGAAUUUGGAAUAUGGGUACUGGCAAGCUUCAAUUGCCCAAGUUAACCAUUAUUUACCAUUCGAAUCAAAUAUUAGCUCGUGGAUUUUGAGAUUUAUGAAUAUUCAUUCGAAAAGCCAAAAGACACCAUACGAGAUAUUUUUGAUCUAAAUUUUGAAUAUUUAAAACUGCUUUUUUACUUAAAAUUUUAGUGGGCAAUGGAAUAUAACUAACUGCUCAUGCUUAACGGGCAAUAUUUAGCACUGGAUACUUCCUUAAAAUCAAUAAAUUCAAGUAUCCAACCUGAACCAUUGUUGCAAAAUUUUUCAAAAGCACCAUGAAUUUUUAGAAAACCAGUGUUUAUAUUUACCUCCAGACCAUUUUCUAACAACUGGAUGUAACAAUUGCUUCUAAAGCAGGGGGUUGCAUAUUCAGGUAUCCCCCCCUCAGAGUUUUUUCUACUGCACAAGGUCUUUACCACUAGGUAGAAUUUAAUGUUCCCCUUUUCUCGAACUUCACCUCUCAGUUUUUCGUUCAGUUUUGGACGCAUCUCGUCGAAGAAUAAAUUGAAGUCAAACAUGGAGUCUUCGCUAGGAGUUAAAAAUGAGGAUGAGAAAACCCCUAACGCUGGUGAUGGCGAAACUCUUUUAGACGAUGAUGAUGACUCCUCGCUCGACUUCCUCUUAAAAUGAAGCAA